UACAGAGACUGCAAGCGUUAUUCGGGUUCACUGGGCGUAAAGGGUGCGCAGGCGGCCAAGUGUGUGAGGCGUGAAAGCCCGGGGCUUAACCCCGGAAUUGCACCUCAAACUACAUGGCUAGAGCAUUGGAGAGGGUAGCAGAAUUCAUGGUGUAGCAGUGAAAUGCGUAGAUAUCUGGAGGAAUACCGGUGGCGAAGGCGGCAUCCUGGACCGACAUUGACGCUGAGGAGCGAAAGCUAGGGGAGCAAACGGG
This 253-nucleotide ribosomal RNA is filed under the name uncultured bacterium. Its description in RNAcentral is "partial 16S ribosomal RNA". It matches the Rfam family "Bacterial small subunit ribosomal RNA", at positions 524 to 776 of the family's 1533-position model. The record is from RNAcentral.